RNAcentral lists this ribosomal RNA (500 nucleotides) under uncultured bacterium. Its description in RNAcentral is "partial 16S ribosomal RNA". It matches the Rfam family "Bacterial small subunit ribosomal RNA", at positions 28 to 507 of the family's 1533-position model. The record is from RNAcentral.
GACGAACGCUGGCGGCGUGCUUAACACAUGCAAGUCGAACGGGUCUGCCCUGUUUUUUGCGGGGUGGGUCAGUGGCGAACGGGUGAGUAACACGUGAGUAACCUGCCCCUCACUUCUGGAUAACCGCUUGAAAGGGUGGCUAAUACGGGGUGUUCUGGCUGUGCCGCAUGGUGUGGCUGGGAAAGAUUCACUUUUGUGGUGUUUUGGUGGGGGAUGGGCUCGCGGCCUAUCAGCUUGUUGGGGGGGUGAUGGCCUGCCAAGGCUUUGACGGGUAGCCGGCCUGAGAGGGUGGGCGGUCACACUGGGACGGAGAUGCGGCCCAGACUCCUGCGGGAGGCAGCAGUGGGGGGUAUUGCACAAUGGGCGGAAGCCUGAUGCAGCGACGUCGCGUGAGGGAUGGAGGCCUUCGGGUUGUGAACCUCUUUCGCCGGUGAAGAAGGUCCUGCUCUUUGUGGUGGGGUUGACGGUAGCCGGGUUAUGAAGCGCCGGCUAACUACGUG